This 495-nucleotide ribosomal RNA is filed under the name uncultured bacterium. RNAcentral's name for it is "partial 16S ribosomal RNA". It matches the Rfam family "Bacterial small subunit ribosomal RNA", at positions 28 to 507 of the family's 1533-position model. The record is from RNAcentral.
GACGAACGCUGGCGGCGUGCCUAAUACAUGCAAGUAGAACGCUGAAGGAGGAGCUUGCUCUUCUGGAUGAGUUGCGAACGGGUGAGUAACGCGUAGGUAACCUGCCUGGUAGCGGGGGAUAACUAUUGGAAACGAUAGCUAAUACCGCAUAAUAGUAGAUGUUGCAUGAUAUUUACUUAAAAGGUGCAAUUGCACCACUACCAGAUGGACCUGCGUUGUAUUAGCUAGUUGGUGGGGUAACGGCUCACCAAGGCGACGAUACAUAGCCGACCUGAGAGGGUGAUCGGCCACACUGGGACUGAGACACGGCCCAGACUCCUACGGGAGGCAGCAGUAGGGAAUCUUCGGCAAUGGACGAAAGUCUGACCGAGCAACGCCGCGUGAGUGAAGAAGGUUUUCGGAUCGUAAAGCUCUGUUGUAAGAGGAGAACGAGUGUGAGAGUGGAAAGUUCACACUGUGACGGUAUCUUACCAGAAAGGGACGGCUAACUACGUG